This is a non-coding RNA of Schistocephalus solidus, 83 nucleotides long. The record is from Rfam. NCBI's taxonomy places the organism in Eukaryota, Metazoa, Platyhelminthes, Cestoda, Diphyllobothriidea, Diphyllobothriidae.
GGCCACGUUGCUCAGUUGGCUAGAGCGUUGGCUGUACUAAAACCUUCUCUAUGCUGGUGUGGGUUCAAAUCCCACCGAGGCCG